GACGAACGCUGGCGGCGUGCCUAAUACAUGCAAGUCGAGCGAUGAAGAUUGGUUCUCGCACCACUUUGAAGAGCAGCGAACGGGUGAGUCACGCGUGGGGAAUCUGCCUUUGAGCGGGGGACAACAUUUGGAAACGAAUGCUAAUACCGCAUAACAACUUUAAACAUAAGUUUGAAGAUUGAAAGAUGCAAUUGCUUCACUCAAAGAUGAUCCCUCGUUGUAUUAGCUAGUUGGUGAGGAAAAGGCCCACCAAGGGGAGGAUACAUAGCCGACCUGGGAGGGUGGUAGGCCACAUUGGGACGGGGACACGGCCCAUGCGCCUGCGGGAGGCAGCAGUAGGGUAUCUUCGGCAAUGGACGGAAGUCUGACCGAACGACGCCGAGGGUGUGGAGAAGGUUCUCGGUUCGUGAAGCUCUGUUUGUAGAGGAGAACGUUGGUGAGAGUGGAAAGCGCAUCAAGUGACGGUAACUACACAGGAAGCGCCGGCUAACUACGUG
RNAcentral lists this ribosomal RNA (497 nucleotides) under uncultured bacterium. RNAcentral's name for it is "partial 16S ribosomal RNA". It matches the Rfam family "Bacterial small subunit ribosomal RNA", at positions 28 to 507 of the family's 1533-position model. The record is from RNAcentral.